AACACAGUGCUGCCCAGAAGACCAGGGUGAGCAUGCUGCAUGAACUGCUGCCCUCGUGAUGCCGGGAAUAGGGAGUGAUGUGCACGAGCUGUCACCGCAUGGCUGCGUGUGGCCCUUUAAAGCCAUCCUUUGUGACCUCAGUGACUCAACAUGAGGGACAUCAGCAAAAGGGAAAGGAAAUGCCAGAGCGUGACACAAUUGUUUCCAGGCAAGCAGGUUCCUGGUGGAGAGCCAGGUGCUGAUACCCGGACUCACACGACCACCCUCUGUCGCUGGCUUUCAGAAAAGUCAUCACUGAUUGCAAAGAGCAUGAAAAGCAUGGUGAUGACAAUAUCGCUUACCUCUUGUGAGGAUCUGGCUUCUCACGGCUGCUGA
Molecule: long non-coding RNA, 375 nt
Filed under: Anser brachyrhynchus (Pink-footed goose)
Lineage: Eukaryota; Metazoa; Chordata; Aves; Anseriformes; Anatidae
Description: lncRNA (ENSABRG00000019299.1)
Source: RNAcentral